AUGGGCUAUGUUGAUUGCUCCCUUAAGUGCCCAUCAAGGACUACCAAUGGUCGACCCAACUUUGCAUGCGUUCUCUGGAAACGUCAGAAUCAGUUAUUGCUGCAUGCUAUUAUUGCAUGUGUCUGGGCAAAUUGUUUCCUUUAUUGCUAUUGCAAAGACUUCCCAAGAAGCUUGGGACAAACUCAUCAAUUUAUAUGCAAAUCGAGCUAGCUCUCGUAUCAUGAGCCUCAGGGAAUGGCCCAUGCUUACUCAUCAUGAAACCAAAUAUAUAACUGAAUUUUUGAAAAUCAUUAAAUCGAUUGCUAAUGAACUGGCUCUUAUUGAUGCACCCAUCUAUGUUGAUGAUCUUGUGAUUCAUAUUCUCAAUGGUGUAGGUCUUGAAUUCAAGGACAUGGUUGCUGCCAUUCGCGCUCAUGAAAACUCCAUAUCCUUUGAAGAAUUGCAUGACAAGCUUGUUAAAA
RNAcentral lists this long non-coding RNA (461 nucleotides) under Prunus dulcis (almond). RNAcentral's name for it is "sRNA ncRNA". Lineage: Eukaryota; Viridiplantae; Streptophyta; Magnoliopsida; Rosales; Rosaceae. The record is from RNAcentral.